GAUGAAGAACGGAGCGAAAUGCGAUACUUGGUGUGAAUUGCAGAAUCCCGUGAACCAUCGAGUCUUUGAACGCAAGUUGCGCCUCAAGCCAUUAGGUUGAGGGCACGUCUGCCUGGGCGUCACAUAUCGUUGCCUGAUGCCAGUUUCCUCGUGAUGGGUGACUGUGCAGGGCGAAUGAUGGCUUCCCGUGAGCAUUGUUGCCUCAUGGUUGGUUGAAAAUUGAGUCCUUGGUAGGGAGCGCCGUGAUAGAUGGUGGUUGAGUGACGAACGAGACCCAAUCAUGUGAGACCCCUACCGAAUUUGGCCUUCAUGACCCACAUGCGUCUUUGGAACGCUCAUGACGAGACCUCAGGUCAGGCGGGGCUACCCGCUGAGUUUAAGCAUAUCAAUAAGCGGAGGA
RNAcentral lists this unclassified non-coding RNA (400 nucleotides) under soil metagenome. Its description in RNAcentral is "partial contains 5.8S ribosomal RNA, internal transcribed spacer 2, and large subunit ribosomal RNA". The stretch from base 1 to 122 matches the Rfam family "5.8S ribosomal RNA", at positions 35 to 154 of the family's 154-position model. The record is from RNAcentral.